This 1101-nucleotide long non-coding RNA is filed under the name Polistes fuscatus (common paper wasp). Its description in RNAcentral is "uncharacterized LOC122515412". The record is from RNAcentral. Lineage: Eukaryota; Metazoa; Arthropoda; Insecta; Hymenoptera; Vespidae.
GGUUAGAGAGUCUUUCUUUUUUCAUUUCAACAUCAGUUGAAAGUACUACCCGUUUCCUUUUCAAUGCCAUAUUACACAUUAUUAUAUCGGCACUUUAAUUCUUUGAGGUCGAAUUUCGGGAUAUACAUAACUAAUAAGUAAUAUUAAAAUAGGUAUAAUAGGGAAUUUGGACGGUUAUAAAUUCUUCUUGAACGUUGUUUUGAACAAGUUGAACGAACCAUCCAAUAUGUCAAAAAAUUGGGGUCAUUAAAGGUUUACUAUUUAGAGCACUAACAUUAAGUAGUAAAAAAUUCCACGCUGAAAAUAGGAAAAAAAUUGAAUUAAUUUAAAAAAAUAAUAAUUAUCCCACGAGUCUCAUUCAUAUGGUGUUCAAUAAGUUUAAAAUAGACAAAGAUCGUAUAAAAGAUCCGAAUAAUAAUAAAAAAGUCAUUAAGUUCCCUUUUAUCAAACCUCUGUCGAAUAAAAUAAAUAAAUGUUUUAAAAAUACUAACGUCAAACUAGUAUUUUAUAACAUAGUGAAAAUUAAUUCCAUAUAUACGAAACUAAAGAACAAGGUCGAUAAAUUAGAACAAUCGAACUUAAUGUACAAGAUACCAUGUGAAUGUGAUAAGUGUUAUAUAGGACAAACGAAACAAAAACUCAAAAAAAGAUUAGACCAACAUAGAAAUGACUGUAAACCUACUAAUGUACAAAAAACCAAUACCACCGCGUUAGAUGAGCAUCAUUUCACUAGAGGACAUAAAUUUAAAUUUGAUAAAGCAACUAUUUUAGAUAGAGAAGACAACUGGUACAAAAGAAAUAUAAGCGAAAUGUACCACGUAAUAAAUAAUAAUACAGUAAAUUACAGAACGGACACGAACAAUUUAAACAGUAUUUAUAACGAAAUUUUAAAAUUUAAUUAUCGUAAUAAGACAUAACAGUAGAGGACAUCAUAAUAUUGAGGAUAUCUAGAUUAUUAAACAUUCUCCGUUCGAUCGUUAGUAGCACAGAAAAACAAGCAGAAACUUUCGCACAAACCUAGAAAACAUAUUCAAAGCACACAACUUCAAUAUUCAUACGUGCACAGACACUAACGUAAAUGACGUCGGAAGCAAAACACAA